RNAcentral lists this transfer RNA (91 nucleotides) under Roseisolibacter agri. Its description in RNAcentral is "tRNA-Ala". Lineage: Bacteria; Pseudomonadati; Gemmatimonadota; Gemmatimonadia; Gemmatimonadales; Gemmatimonadaceae. The record is from RNAcentral.
CGACGCGCCGCGCGUGGUCGCGUGGCUCGGCGCGCUCGCGGCGCGCCCGGGCGAGACGCACCGCAUCGAGUUCCGCUUCCGGCACGCCGCC